AUUGAACGCUGGCGGCAAGCCUUACACAUGCAAGUCAAACGGCAGCGCGGGAGCAAUCCUGGCGGCGAGUGGCGAACGGGUGAGUAAUAUAUCGGAACGUGCCCUAGAGUGGGGGAUAACUAGUCGAAAGAUUAGCUAAUACCGCAUACGAUCUACGGAUGAACGUGGGGGAUCGCAAGACCUCAUGCCCGUGGAGCGGCCCAUAUCUGAUUAGCUAGUUGGUAGGGUAAAAGCCUACCAAGGCCACGAUCAGUAGCUGGUCUGAGAGGACGACCAGCCACACUAGGACUGAGACACGGCCCAGACUCCUACGGGAGGCAGCAGUGGGGAAUUUUGGACAAUGGGGGAAACCCUGAUCCAGCAAUGCCGCGUGUGUGAAGAAGGCCUUCGGGUUGUAAAGCACUUUUGUCCGGAACGAAACGGGCCGAGCUAAUAUCUUGGCCUAAUGACGGUACCGGAAGAAUAAGCACCGGCUAACUACGUGCCAGCCGCCGCCGUAA
This 500-nucleotide ribosomal RNA is filed under the name uncultured bacterium. RNAcentral describes it as "partial 16S ribosomal RNA". It matches the Rfam family "Bacterial small subunit ribosomal RNA", at positions 30 to 523 of the family's 1533-position model. The record is from RNAcentral.